CACUGAGCACUAUAGAAAGGCAAACACAGUUUACUUUUUCGAAAAAGAGAAAUCAGGGAAUUAGAGACUGCUGUUCCCUGAAACAAGUCUAAAAAAAUAUUACAUGAUCAAUUUAAAGCAAAUAGAAGAUAAAAAGAAAAAAAAAGACAUAGAUUUACUAAGAAUUAAUCAUGCAACCUUAACUCUAAUUUCCUUCUUUGAGAAAAGAAUGUCUAGUAGAUGAAGAGGAGGCAGCAGAUGGGACAUAUUUUGCUUUAGGAAAGCUUUUGAAACUGUUCCACAUGAUUCUUUCAGAAGCAGACUAAAGAAAUAUGGUCUAUAUCAGUGUGCCCAGUAUUUCUGGCUGGGUGAGACACUUACCUUGUUUCUGUAUAAGGGAGAGACCAUAUGGUGCAGCCCUUCCUCUAAUGCAUAACUGUAUUGUGCAAGUGUAGAAAAGCCAGUGCUUUCUGGGGCAAUGAGAUUUAUUGCGUAUGUGCAGGCAGAUUCACAUACUGCCGUGAUCAGAGGCACUAAGUGGACUCCCAGCAAAGCUGGCCUGCAGUGUGCUCAAAAUAGCCCAUCCAGCGGGCAGCCCUCCCUGUUGACUCUGGUCUGGAUGCAUAAGAGAGUGAGGGAGACCACAGCCAAAUUCGUUGUCCUGGCAGGCCCUGUGCAGUUCAUAGCUUGAGAUUCAUCAUUUGGAAGGGAUGUGAUAUUACUGUAAUGGGGGUGGCAAUGGUGCACUGUCAGACUGGGAGGUUAUUUUGACCAGAGUCCUGCUGGCAUAUGUUCUGGGCCCAGUUCUGUUCAGUUUUUUAAUUAACGACCUAUAUGAUUUAACAAAGAACUCCCUCAUAAAAUUUGUGGAUAAACCAAGAUGCACUUUGAAGGUCAGGAUCAGACUUCUCAUGAUCUUGAGAGACUGGAGAAAGUGAUCCAGAAAUCAACAGUGUGAAAUAAAAAGAAACAAGUGCUGUGUGCCACAUUUAUGAAAGAGGAAACAAAUAGCAAAAUAUAAAAAAAAGGUAUAACUGCCUGAGGCAUGCCAGGAAAAGAUGUGGGAAUUAGAGAAAAUAAAAUAUUAAACAUGAGUGAGCAAUCACAAACUUCUCAUACUGGGAGGUGUUAAUGAAAUGUAUUAUUAAAACAUGGGAGGAAUUCUCAUUUUUUGCAGUGCUGUUGAGGCCUUUGCUGGACUUCUGUGUCCACACUUUGUGCUAGAGGGAGCUGGUGUUGUGAAUCAUGUGGGUACCGGCCACAGAGGAAUGAGUAGGAAAGAAAUUUUGAAAGUGGAAUCACAGUGUUAUAAAUUGUCACAGUAUCAGACAAGCACAUUCUUAGUCGUUGGUGAGGCAGUUUUUACAAGAGAGAUAAGCUAUAUAAAUCAAUGUGAAACUAGAUUGCAAACUAGGUUUUAACAUUCAAAAGCAAUGAGGUAUUUUUAUAGUUGACAGUUGUGGAAACUCACCAAAUAAGCAACAGCACAUGGUUCAAGAUCACAACUCCUUUUCAAGAGAAAUAAGAAAAUUCUUGUAACUUAGAAAAAUUGAAGGAAUGAAAUUAAUAACGUUGAGGAAGGAAAUAGCAAAGAAUGGUCUCAGCAAUUAAAAGUCCCAGCUAAGCAGGCCACAUGAAAAAUGGGCAACUAGAUCAAUAAAAAAUGUAGAAAUAUAUCUAUACAAAUGCUGCAACUCUGAAGCCUAAAAGAGGUGAACUAGACUGUCUGAUUUUAAAGGAAGUUAUUGACAUAAUAAAUGCCUCAGAAACUUGGCAGAAGGGUAGGAAACUGUAAUAAUAGGGAACAAAUUACAGAGGAAGGCUGGAAAGGGGUACAUUAGUGGUGAAGCAGUGGAGAGUAUGAGGAAUUGUCCCUAAAUGAAGUUUCAGCAGAGGACAUUUUGGAACAAAUCAAUAAAAAGAACAGUAAGAAAGCACCAAGAUAAGAUGAUACUCAAUCAAGAGUUCUGAAAGACCUCAAACGCUAGAUUAAGAGAAAGCUAAAUGUAGCAUGAAAAGUGUCAUUUAAGUUGACCACACUGCAAGAAGGAUGGAAAGUGGCAAAUGUGUCUUCAGCCUUGAGCAAAAGGACUCCAGGACAAAUGUGGAAAACCACCGAUCAGUAAAUCUCACUUCCAAACUGAAUAAGUGGGUAAAAACUACAAUAAUAAAGAAGAGAACUAGUAGACAAUUUCAUAAAUGUGAUUUAUUUGGAAAAAGUCAUUACAGUUCUUGCAGAAGGAGACCGUGUCUCAUAAAUCUGUUUGAACUCUUUGAAGAUGUCAACAAGCUUGUAGGUAAGGCUGAUCUAGUUGAUAAAGUGUGUACGGACUUCCAAACAAAUGUCAGUAAGUCUUUCUGCAAAAACUCUUAAAGUAGUUGAGCUGAGAUAAUAAGAUGUCCUCUCCUAAGUAAAUAAGAUGGAAACAAAAUGGGAUGAAAAGUGGGAGAAAAGAUCAGUUUUUCCAGUGAAAGGAACUCUGCAGCUUAGUCUUGCAACUAUUUGAUUUAGGACCUGUGGUUUUCAGUAUCUUAGAAGUGAUUUGAAAAGAGGGGUGAAUAUUGCUGUGACAAGGUUUGUGGAUGACACACAAUUAGCUCAAAUAGUGAAAUCUGACCCUGAGAAGAGAGGCGGAUGGUUCUCAUGGCAGUGAGUGACUCUGUCAGAAAUAGCACUUGGAAGUCAAUGCUAGUAAUUGCAAAGUAGUUCGUUUGGGAAUAUACAUGUUCAAUUAUAUAUUAUACGUAUUCAAUUACAGAUUGAACUUUACAUUAUUAUCACUUAGAAAUAGAGUUGCUGUAGGAUAACUCUCUGAAGCAUUAAUGCAGUGGCCACAGCAAUAAAAAAUUCAAACUAAAUGAGAAAUUUUUAGAAAAGGAAAAAAGGAAAAGAAAAACAUAAUUACGUGAUUAUGUCACUGUAUAAAUGUUUGGCAAACCCACGUAUUGAUUAAUAUGUGCAGUUCUGUUCAUCCUGUCUUCAUAAAGAAUAUAAUAGAACUAAAAAGGAUGGGUGGGAGUUACAGAGCUCAGAGAUUUAAACACCUAAAUUUAGAUUUCUACCUGUAGGUGUCAAUCUAUGAGGUAGAUAUCUAAACUCAAACACUGAAUCAAAGCAUUUUAAUCUGGAUUCCACCCACAGAAAGUGGAUGAGGAUAGAAUGGUUUUCAUAUCAGGACAGAGAAAAUAUUCAGGCAUGGGACAGAGAUAUUGAGAUCUCCUAGCUAGCUAGGAAACAGUGAAGAGUGUGUGGCUAUUCAUUUUAAGAACAGGAGAAGUUAAGGAUACCCCAUGAAAUUAUGAGGCAUCAGGUCUAAACCAGGAAGUCACACAUUCUCAUAUAACUUAUUACUAAAUUGUAGAACUUAUUGCCAGAGGCUGUUAAGUAGGUCAAAAGUAUAAAUGAAUUAAGAAUUUCUGGAAGGCUGAUGGGAAGUUAGUGUCCUGCCAAACAGAAUUACGAAGGCUCAUUCAGCUGUCAAAAGCCAGGCAGAGGUACAUGGGAAGGACUCAGAGGCAGCUAAGUAGGACAAUAAAGGCACUUUCUAGGCCAGAACAGAGACCAUGGUGAGAAACUGGCAUGCACCACACUGAUAGCUUCUCUUAGUCAGUGGGACACCACAAAGAGAGAACCACAGGUGAGAUCUCGGGAGCAGAAAGUGUGGUACGCUGCAGUGUAGACUUUGGGGGAAGGAAGAGGGAAAGGCAGGGAGAGAAAUCCUGAGCAGAAAUUUUAGAAAGUGAGGGAGACUGAUUAUAGCCAUAAAACAAUAGCCGUUAGCAUAGGUGUUUUCCAGAAAAUGGAAGCAAGAAGCAGUGUUUGUAGGUCAUGAUUUUCAGCACCUCAGAGCUGCCUGAAUGAAGAAAAUCCUAGAACCCACUAGCAGUACAGAUGUUCUCAGGGCUUGCAGCUGGUUACACUUCUGCCUGGGGCUUGAAAUGUAGGUACUAGAAUUCACUUGCUAAAUCUAGUCUUUACUAGAGCAAUGCUCUAGUGGUUUUCAAAGACUUAAAUUGCUAACAACCACAUUCACCCAACUUACCUCUCUCUGACCAAACUCCCUGGGUUUCACUGACCAGCAAUAUUUCAGUCAUUGCUGAAGCUGCAGAUGAGAUCCUGAGUGCAAUCAACAGUGACCCGUAGUCAGUUUGGAUGGAUUGUCUCUGAGGAGUAGCUAACCAGGUACGCAGGGCUGUGGACAGUAAGGCUGGAGAACAUCUCCAGGUCUUUGAUGUGGGAGAGAACCAAAUUAUGAAUGUGGCUACCACGGUAGGCAAGUUUAGUAUAAAGUUGGGUAUAGUGGUCCCAAACUUCCCUUUUUCAAUCCUGUUUUCAUUUUCCAUUUUGUUUGGAUAUAUUUUCAUCAUUCAUUUUGACCUUGUUUCUGUUUUGCGUUACUCUACUAGCUGUCCCCAGGGUAUUUCCGCCUGGCACUUAAAUGUUUGCAGGUAUUUUCUGUCUGCUUAGGCAGCCAUGAAUUUGGCUCCACAGACCUCAGAAGGACUCGGAGUACUCUGGAAAGCAGUAUUGCUCAUCCGCAGGGUGCAAACUCAGGGAAUGAUGAUUUAAUUAGAUUGGUAGCACUACUUAAAAGCAAAAUUGAAAUCUAAUGCAGCCGUCUUUAAAAUACACUUCAGUAUUACAUAAGAAGCCCAUAAUAACAUCAGAAGUGGAAACCUUUAAAUGAGGGUAAAUUUGAUGCCAACUAUUAUAUCCUUUAUUGUAAAGCAUGCUGAGCUGCAACAUGGUAAAAUCCAUUAGUGCUUUGGGGAUUUUUUUUUUUUUCUUUCUGAAGUCGGGAACUAUUCAUUACCUCAAAGUCAAACUUACUGUAAGAAUGUGCAAGUUCUGGUGGGAGUUGCUCCUGCUGAUUGAGGAAGUAUCAUCCUCUCCUAGAACAACCCAAGGGCCUGAGCCUCAUGUCUGUGAGCCUGGUAGAAAAACACUGCAGCCUCCUGUUCCUACAUGAAAUUCCUGCUUUAUUAAGCAUCUCAACCAAAGACCACGAUUACAAGUGCAUUUCUUCCAGUGCCAGUAUGACACUUAAGCAGUCUGCACCCCCUUCUGUCCCCACUUCCUUUUGAUCAUGAUGAGGCUGCCCAGGAACCUGGGACAGAGAAUGGGACUGCCUAAAAAAUAAUUUUCCUAAUCAGUGCUAUUCUUACCUGGGAUCCACCUUGAUCCACUUUUGUAUGUGGCCCCAACACAGCUGUCCUGUCACAACUGUGGGGCUGUCGCAGGAGCUUCUUAUACUGGCACAGCCUCUGAAACGAAAAGAUUUGUAGUUACACACAAAAAAAGAGAGUGCUGUGCGUAAUCUCGGAGCUUUGGUAUGCAUAUGUAUGUUCUUCAGUCUCUGGGUAGGGAUGAUCUGCUUUACAUGAGUACUUGUCACCAUAGCAGGACUUUGAGCUUACUGCCUGAUGCUCCGUUUGAAUUCUGUGACCACAGGACUGUUCCCAGCAUUUCUUACUUUCUCUGACCUAGAAAAUAUUUACUUAUUUUUUAUAAAUCAGAACUGCUGUCCCUGGAAAAAUUUAAUAAGGUAUUUUGGUGCCUGUCAGAGAGUUGCCAAUGGAAAUCAGGGUCAAAAUGGUAGCAUGGUUCUGGACUUAAUUAGGUAGCCUGCUUUUUUUUGGAGAAGUUAUUUUAAAGAUUUGGACACUAGGGAAUUUUCUGCAUUGAGUUAAGAAGAAAACAGCUUUAAAUUUUGUUUCUCCAUUUCCUAGAAAAUGAGUUUUCUGCACGGUUUCGGAUUGUUCAGCCAAAUGCCUCUGUCUUUUCAUGAUAUGUUUCACAACAUAUUUGUUACAUCCAGACAUAGAAUGUUAGAAUUAAUCAAAACUGAAAUAUUUAUGGAGAAAGCCAUUUCAUGUCCAUCUCUGUCAUGAGACUGGCUGCUCUGAUAGGGAUUAGAGGUUGCUACACUAAUGACUUAGACUUUUGUCUCAUUGCCAGAGCAGUUUCCCAAUUUAGAACCUUUUCUUCUGAUUAAUAUUUGUAUUCCUCCCACAAUUCCCCUUCUUAUAGGAACUCGUACUGGGAAUUAUUCCAGACCUACAUAAUGUCUCUGAAAUCUUUUUAUCCCUCUGUUUGCUGAUCAGUGGAAAGGAUUUUAAUGCCAGGUUAGGUAAUCGAGAUAAAUCCUAACUUCAUCUAACUUUAUCCCUCGACCAUGUCUUGGAUAUUCUAGAAACAUUUUUUGUGAUCCAUAAAUAAAUUCACAUAGGAUUUUGAUAAAUCUUUUUUUUUGCUCUUCUUUUUUCAGUGAAGCCUCAUUACAUUAAAUGGGAGAUCAAACAGAGUGUAUUACAACUUCCACUAUGAACUAGUUUGUUUAAUGCAACACCUUUUUGGGGAUUGAAAACAUCAGUAAGUUCCAAAGACAAAGUUUUGUGCACAGUAUUAUCCUGAAGCAGUAAUGGCUUCUGGUACCUGAGAAUGCUUUCUAGCCCCAUUCAGUUGUUUGAAAUAGCUUACACAGUGGUGCAAAGUAUACAGUGAUUUAAUACACUUCACUUCUAACUGCAACUUGUUACAAAGAAGAGGGAGUCAAACUUAUUUAAAGUAGGUCUCUCGCUGGCACUUGAAGCCAGCAAAGGCGUGGAUGGCUGUGUGGCUUGGGAGAGGUAGGGCUCCUGGCUCAGAGCCACAUCACAGCACUACUCCAUGAACUCCAUGAGCUUCUGCAUGCCUGUUUGGGACAUUCAUGGCCACAAGCCAGCCACUUCUCAUGCACAGUCACUGGGAAAAGUACAUACCUAAGGAAAAGCUUACAAAAAACUACAUCCUUGUUAGAAAAUGAUCUGACCUUGCAUGUGGGCAGUAACAGGGAGCAGAACUCGAGCCCAUCUCUAUCCUUUUUUGCUUGACUUCCUUAACUCCAGCAGAAGGUUUCAAGCUAACCCAGAAGUCAAAGUUUUCUUACCAAAAUUUUGGUCUGAGGGACUGCCGAGUGACAACUUUGUACCUCAGAGCUGUCAGGUUAAAUGAGCCUGGGAAAGGUGGUGGCUGCAGUUUGUUAGGAGAACUGGACUCCCUGUUACCCUUGACCAUCCUAAUUAUAGACAGGAUGGAAAAAAACCCUCCCUUGCUUUGACCCGGAGUUGCUCUUUCCUCUGAUGGUUCAUUGAUUCCCUUUGCUUCCCUUCUCAUUUAAUAGAUUUUUAUAAGUUGGGCAUUUACAGAUCUGCUGCUAUUAACAUUCAAUGUUAGUGGACCCGAGAGCUUCUCUGCCAACUAUGCUGGAGCUUCUGAGCCUGCUGAUUUAAAAAUGUUCAUUGCUGAUAGAUUCUAACAUCUCUCUCAGUUACUAAUAGACUGGAAAGUAUUUUAUCAUCCUCAAGCAAUGAAAGCAAAUCAUCCUUCUUUCCAAAUACCGAAUAAAAGUCUGUUUGAACACUUCUGCAUUUUCUGCAUAAUCCUUCACAAUUCUUCUGUCUGCACUGAGCAGUGACCCCGUACUGUUGCUAGGAUUUCUUUUGCAAACACAACUUUCUUGUGUUAAGCUCUGUCAGCCAUGGAUUUUAUUCUGAGGUUUCUUUGUUUCGUGCUUCUGUUCAUGUAGGUCAGGAGUUUUCCUGGCUAUUGAUUUACAACUAGUUACAUGUAGUACUAAUGUUUGACAUUUCUGCCUUUGUUUUUCUUUGCUGAUAUCAGUACCAAAAUUUAACCACACGAGUCAAUUGUUUUAAGAUUUCAUGUUGAGUGUCUGACUCAGUCUGAUAUUUUUCACAUUUUUGAAAGUGUCAGGUAAAACGGUAAAAGGAUUAGGAAAAAGGUACCGUUUUCCCAAUGUUUUAAAUAUGUACAUAUACCUUUAUAAUAUAUGUUUAAUGUUGAAUAGAUAUAUAUAAAUAAAACCCCCAAUAGCAAUGCCAUAUAGUCCAUUUUUGACAAGCUAGAGUCUUAGUAUUAGAAUUAAGGGCUUGAAAUUUAGGAAAGGAAUAACCCCGCUGAAAGAUGUGCAUUUUUUCUUUUCCUUUGAAAUCUGACGUGUCCUGCCAGAGUCUCUCACCAUGUCAGUCUGUGUCUGUUCAGCGGAGACUUGCCAGUGUUCAGCUGUGUAUUCCACUGAGACCUUGUCCAACAACAGGCACCACUCCCAGCUUCAGGCAUGAGCAAGAUUUUACUGCAGUGCACAGCAGAGGAGCUGGAAGGGUCCGGCAGUGCUGUGGUUGAGGGGAGGUGAAGGACAGCAGCCGAGGGCUGGAAGCAGCAGCCACAUCCUCGAGCUGAGUUUGUUGCUAUGAUUGUGCCAGGGCUGUGGAGGAGGAGCCGAGCUGGCUGAGUGCUGCUGUGCCUCUGGAACUGGUGGAAGAGCUGGAGCAUCUCACCUCUGAGGCCUUGCUGGCUGGCUCCUUUUCUCACACCAAUUGAUGCCCUACUUUGAGUUCCCUCUGCCCUUCCGGAGCGCGUACAUCAGGCCAUGCUGGUCCUUUUCCUUCUGUCUCUGGGAACAGCACUAACGGAAGUAUCUCCCCUUGGACCUGGAGCAGGUUCUCUGUUCUCAGGGGCAGAUGUCCCUCUGCUUUGGCACAGGCUCUUUGCCAGGGCUGCUGGGAUGGAGAGCAGCCACAAGGGCUUUUGCAUCCUGGUCUGUGGUGUGAGGCACACUCCCUGGCUGAGGCUUUUUGGUCCCCUCACCUUUUUCUCCAGGACUUGUGUCCAGGUGCUGUGGAGUGCCUGGUCUCUGCAGCAUGCUUCAAACGUGGUAGUACAGUGUGGGGGCUGUAGUGCCAGGGUUUCAGAGGUGCUGCAAGGAGGUUACUGGUGUGUUACUCUUCCCAGCUUGACUCAGGAGAUGGGGAGUUUCAUUCCUCUGUGUGAUUGCUUGGUCCUCUAUUGGAGUCUGUGGGUGUUUUUGGGUUGCAGGGGUAUGUGGCAGAGGGGAGGGUAGAUGAGACCAGGAGUGCUUGUACCAGGAGUGUCAGUGUCUUCUCCAAAAAGAGCCAUUGGUCUGGUUCCUGGGAUGGGAAUGGAGCUACCACGGGCAGCAUUGCACUGGAGUGGGAGAGCUGGCUGCUGGGGCUGAGCUCUGCAGCACUCUACAGCUCUGCCUGUCCCCUGCACUGGUGUGCAAAGACCCCACAGAGGGUGGCUGAAAGGGGCCAUCUGUGGGCGUGAGGGUCCUUAUAGGUGAGGGGGGAUCCCUGUGUGAGGGCUGAGAUGUGCUGCUGCUUUUGGCCCCUGCACAAGUGCCCCCUCCUGCCCUGAGUGUGGCUUCUGGAGGAAGAGGAGAGGUAAAGUGUGUACCUGCUCCUGUCAUGGUGUGGGGAUGAUUUGUGGUCCCUCUGCAUAUCCCCCAUUGGUCUGUGGGGCAGGGGGCAUGGUGGGCAGGCAGCUUUGCACAAGGCACAAGAGACGUACCAGCAGAUGGGACAUGGUGCAUGCUGCUCCCUGUCAGGCAGGGCAUUUUGGGAAGCUGCUUGGAUUUUGGGCUGUUCCUCAGCAGUGAGCCAGUUCCCAAACAGCAUUUGUUAGGUUGGAGUUUGCAGGGCAGGAGACUGCUCUGGGACCUGGGGAGUUGGAGAGACCUGUGUUGGUCUCAUUUAAUCACAAAGAGCUUUUCUU
Molecule: long non-coding RNA, 9553 nt
Organism: Falco peregrinus (peregrine falcon)
Lineage: Eukaryota; Metazoa; Chordata; Aves; Falconiformes; Falconidae
Exons: 3
Source: RefSeq, a predicted model, not a curated record